AGAGUUUGAUCCUGGCUCAGGAUGAACGCUAGCGGCAGGCCUAACACAUGCAAGUCGAGGGGCAGCGGGAGUGCUUGCACUCGCCGGCGACCGGCGCACGGGUGCGGAACGCGUAUCGAAUCUGCCUCUAUCUGGGGGAUACCCCAUGGAAACGUGGAAUAAUACCCCAUAGUAUUACUUUAUCGCAUGAUUUAGUAAUUAAAGAAUUUCGGAUAGAGAUGACGAUGCGUAUCAUUAGCUAGUAGGUAAGGUAACGGCUUACCUAGGCAACGAUGAUUAGGGGUCCUGAGAGGGAGAUCCCCCACACUGGUACUGAGACACGGACCAGACUCCUACGGGAGGCAGCAGUGAGGAAUAUUGGACAAUGGUCGAAAGACUGAUCCAGCCAUGCCGCGUGCAGGAUGACUGCCCUAUGGGUUGUAAACUGCUUUUAUACGGGAAGAAAAACACCUACGUGUAGGUGACUGACGGUACCGUAAGAAUAAGGACCGGCUAACUCCGUGCCAGCAGCCGCGGUAAUACGGAGGGUCCAAGCGUUAUCCGGAAUCAUUGGGUUUAAAGGGUCCGUAGGCGGGCUAUUAAGUCAGAGGUGAAAGUUUGCAGCUCAACUGUAAAAUUGCCUUUGAUACUGAUAGUCUUGAAUUGUAGUGAAGUGGUUAGAAUAUGUGGUGUAGCGGUGAAAUGCAUAGAUAUCACAUAGAAUACCGAUUGCGAAGGCAGAUCACUAACUAUAUAUUGACGCUGAGGGACGAAAGCGUGGGGAGCGAACGGGAUUAGAUAAAUCGG
This 786-nucleotide ribosomal RNA is filed under the name uncultured marine bacterium. RNAcentral's name for it is "bacterial SSU rRNA". It matches the Rfam family "Bacterial small subunit ribosomal RNA", at positions 8 to 790 of the family's 1533-position model. The record is from RNAcentral.